AUGAUGCAACGGCCACUGGAGCUACGAUGUAGCGGACGACGCCGCCGCCGCCGGAGCUACGAUGCAGUGGCCGACGGAGCUGCUACACAGCGGUCAUCGAUGCCGCCGGAGCUGCGAUGCAGCGGUCCUCGACGCCGCCGGAGUUGCAUUGCAGCGGCCGUGACACCGCCGGAGCUGCUAUGCAGUGAUCGUCGAUGCCGCCGGAGCUGCGAUGCAGCGGCCGCCGACGUCGUUGGAGCUGCUAUGCAGUGGCCGCUGGAGCUGCGAUGCAGCGGUCGUCGACGCUGGCGGAGGUGCGAUGCAGCGGUCGCGGCGCCGCCGUAG
RNAcentral lists this ribosomal RNA (324 nucleotides) under Triticum aestivum (bread wheat). RNAcentral's name for it is "partial small subunit ribosomal RNA". Lineage: Eukaryota; Viridiplantae; Streptophyta; Magnoliopsida; Poales; Poaceae. The record is from RNAcentral.